Long non-coding RNA from Esox lucius (northern pike), 1159 nucleotides. The record is from Ensembl. Lineage: Eukaryota; Metazoa; Chordata; Actinopteri; Esociformes; Esocidae.
GCCUUAUAGCAGUCUUACCAAGUCACUGCACAGGAGUUACUUUAAUCCUCUAUAGUUGAAAUAAAGAGCUCAGCACUACAUGCGUCCUGAAAUAAAUGCCUGACAUUCCCUUUGGUGAGUUUUACUGUCGCGGGGUACAGAAGGAAAGCCUGAAACCCCUUUGUACGGGCUUCAUGCAUCACCUUGUAGCGUAAUUUACGACGCUUCAGAGUGGCCUCGCUUUAGUCCGCGGCAAACUGAAGUUGAAUAUUAGCCACUUCUGAGCGAUUUUUCCUGGAUUCUUUGAGAAUACGAUCCCUGCCAGUAUACCGGAGACAUCUUACGAUCCGCGACCGUGGUCUCCGCGGCUCACUCCCAGUGCCUCGCUCUGGCAAGCGUCCAAGCCGGUGACAUUGCAUCAGCACCGGGCAGGUGUCAACGAGAGCAGGAAACCACUUGGGAAGGUGUUCUCGCAGGUUCUUGCCUGUGUUAGAAGAGCACAGAAUUGCAGAAGAUGGUCCCCCUGUAACCCGUAGUAAUUGGAGCCCACAGCAGUAUUUCCAGCAGUACAUUGACAAUGAACUAAUUCAGGACCUGUCCUUCAUCAACCAACGUAUGGUACAGGAUUCAGGCUUAAGCACAACACCAGAAGAAAUCAAGACCUUUUUAGGAAUCUCGAAAAUAUGGUGCGAUCCACUUGCCUGAAAUGGUUGCCAGUCCAAAUCCUUCCAGAUGCAGAAUGCCUGGGUGCACUAGUAGAACCUAUGUGAGAUGUGUUAAAUGUGACAUGUUCCUAUGUGUCUCCAAAAAGUCACAGUGCUUCCUCACAUAUCACAAAUGAAUUGGUAUUUGUGAACUGGCAAACCAAAUGUUCAUCAUAGGGCUAUGGCCAGUGAAAAGUUGAAUGAGUUGUAUGUGUAUUUGACCCUGACUGAGUUGUAUCCUAUGUUUUUGUGAAGUUUUUAUGCAGUUUGUGUGUGUUGUGUUGAUAUCCAGGCAGAUUUUUAAUUCUGUUGAUGUUUUAGGGUCGGGAUGAAUUAAGUCCCGUUGUACACUACAGUUCACAUUAUAAAACAUUAAUGAAAUUAUGAAAAAAUCUAAAAUCUUUGCAAUGUGUUUUUUUACCACCCCAACACAUCCUUUAUAUAAAAAAAAUCUAAACACCUUUCCCCCCCCCCAG